This 484-nucleotide ribosomal RNA is filed under the name uncultured bacterium. RNAcentral's name for it is "partial 16S ribosomal RNA". It matches the Rfam family "Bacterial small subunit ribosomal RNA", at positions 29 to 507 of the family's 1533-position model. The record is from RNAcentral.
AUUGAACGCUGGCGGCAUGCUAUACACAUGCAAGUCGAACGGCAGCGCGGGCUUCGGCCUGGCGGCGAGUGGCGAACGGGUGAGUAAUGCAUCGGAACGUGCCCAGUAGUGGGGGAUAGCCCGGCGAAAGCCGGAUUAAUACCGCAUACGACCUGAGGGUGAAAGCGGGGGACCGAAAGGCCUCGCGCUAUUGGAGCGGCCGAUGUCGGAUUAGCUAGUUGGUGGGGUAAAGGCUUACCAAGGCGACGAUCCGUAGCUGGUCUGAGAGGACGACCAGCCACACUGGGACUGAGACACGGCCCAGACUCCUACGGGAGGCAGCAGUGGGGAAUUUUGGACAAAGGGGGCAACCCUGAUCCAGCCAUGCCGCGUGCGGGAAGAAGGCCUUCGGGUUGUAAACCGCUUUUGUUCGGGAAGAAAUCCUCUGGGCUAAUACCCCGGGGGGAUGACGGUACCGGAAGAAUAAGCACCGGCUAACUACGUG